GUACUGGUCUGUGGCGGUGGUUGUCGGCUGUACUGCCAGGAAAACUCGGCACUGACUAUCCCACUGCUGAUGCUGUAAAAGAGGUCCUUCUGCUAUGACUCAACUGUGGUUCAUCUGGUUCUGGGGACACUUAGGCCCUGCGUGCCGAUUUUCAUAGUUCCCUGUGGCUCCGAGCCGAGGGAGCCGCGGUGUGGAAUGGAGGGAACCAGUGAUCACAGUGCUGAAGAAAACAGGGAGUGUGUGUCUUCAUACUUGACUUGCCUUGCCGCAGGGGCUUAAUAUGAGAUGUCUGGGCGUGUUAAGUUGUUCUUGAUGAAAUGUGUCCUCUGUGAAUGUAGUCUCACUGUUAGACUAGGAAGAUGCUGUUUUGCUGUGCCCAGUUCCUCUUAAAAGUACAGAUGCUCCUUGGGUUGCAGCCGUAUAAACCCAUCCUAAAUCGAAAAUGCGUUUUAAUACCCUUAUAAACGAAAAGGAUAAAUAAGCCUUUGGGUUCUGUAAUAUGAGCUAGCAUUCUUUGAGUGCGUAUGUGACAGGAACCAAAGAGAAGUGAAGGAAUGUGUCCAAGGGCUCCCAAGUUGGCGGUGGAAUUAGAAUUGAAGCCUCAGCUCCAAAGCCUGUGUUCUGAACUACCCGGUUGCAGCUCACAAAAUAGACUUUGGCAGUACUUUCAUAACGAAAACAAAUGAUUACAACCAGUUUACAAAUGCUUUGCUUUACUUUACUGGAGGAUCGACAUGUUUGACUACUUUUCAAAAAUAAAUCUCAGAAGCAGCG
Molecule: non-coding RNA, 774 nt
Filed under: Pongo abelii (Sumatran orangutan)
Lineage: Eukaryota; Metazoa; Chordata; Mammalia; Primates; Hominidae
Source: RNAcentral